RNAcentral lists this long non-coding RNA (1381 nucleotides) under Gallus gallus (chicken). RNAcentral describes it as "long non-coding RNA NONGGAT005022". Lineage: Eukaryota; Metazoa; Chordata; Aves; Galliformes; Phasianidae. The record is from RNAcentral.
CUGAGGGAGAAACGACACCGAAGGAGCAAAGGUCAUAAAGUGCAGAAGGGGCCGGAGAUGGUGGCUGAUGGGGCUUUGGGGGAUGGGAAAUGGACGAUGGCUGCAAUAAUCUUUGGAUGGGAUCGCUCCGUUGCAAAGGGGAAGCGCUGCUCUGAGCUCUGCCUUAAUGCCUCUCUGUGCCAUUCCAGUGUGAGUUCAGCUCUGCUGCUCCCCAUGUCUGCAAUGUCUGCAGGGUCUUCCGUGCAUGCCGUGCUCCAAGCAUCAGAGUCACUGGGCAACGCCGUGCAGCAGCAGGGCGGGCUCUGCAAAGGGAAUUGCAUCUGAACAGCGUUGCAUCUGAAUAGCGCUGCACCUGCAGAGUGUUGCAUCUGAACAGCAUUGCAUCUGAACAGCACGGUACCUGCACAGUAUUGCAUCUGCACAGUGUUACAUCCAAACAGCGUUGCACCUGAGCAACACAGUGCCUGCACAGUGUUUGCAUCUGAACAGCACAGUAUCUGCACAGCGUUGCAUCUGAAUAGCAUUGCACCUGCACAGUGUUGCAUCUGAACAGCAUUGCACCUGCUCAGCAUUGCAUCUGAACAACACAGUACCUACACAGCGUUGCAUCUGAACAGAACAGCACCUGCAUAUCAUUGCAUCUGAACAGCAUUGCGACUGCGUGGCACUGCAUCUGAAUAGCACUGCGCCUGCACUGCUUUGCACCUGCACGGUGUUGCACCUGCACUGCUUUGCACCUGCACAGUAAUGGCAUUGCACUUGCACAGAAGGAGAGGGAGAGAAAGCAGCCCUGGGAUCGGGACCUGCUGCUCACAGGGCCCCGCAGGGCUGUGCCCUCACUGUUUGCCCACAUCCCACCGAAAUCCCACGGGAUCGAUGGGGGUCGGCCGGGUGCACCGCCCCGAGGCCAUGGGAUCGAUGAGGAGUGAAGGAAAUGCGGCCGAAGAUGCGCGGUUUUACAGCUUCCUCCCCAAGAACGGCCGUGCUUUAUGGACUGCUGGUAAUUGCCAAUUAAUUGCGCUGCAGCCGAGGGCAGGAAAGCAGCCCGCAUCCUCCAUACGGGGUGGGCAGGAUAUCAGAGUCCGAAGGUGUUACCACUCCUCCACUUAAUGAAGAAAAAUCACGAUGGAGGCGGCCGGAGGCAACGCAAUGGGAUUGCAGCGGGGAGGAGAGGACUGUGUUAACACCCAUUAAUAAUAAAUAACCGCCAUAAUGAGCUCUAAUUAAUUUGGUCACACGUUAGAGAUCGCUUCCUUCUUUUUUAAGCUUGUAGGUUUUUCUGUGCCGGAGCAUCCCUGCGCCCUGGCUGUUCCCAGCCCCUUCCAUUCAACGUGUGAUAGAUGGAUUGAUACGCAGCUUUAAUCAGUGUAAUAUAUAAAGC